ACACGUAGGGGGCGAGCGUUGUCCGGAAUUACUGGGCGUAAAGGGCAUGUAGGCGGUCAUACAAGUCAGGUGUGAAACACCUGGGCUCAACUUAGGUAUUGCACAUGAAACUGUAUGACUUGAGAACAGGAGAGGGUAGUGGAAUUCCCGGUGUAGCGGUGAAAUGCGUAGAUAUUGGGAAGAACACCAGUGGCGAAGGCGACUGCCUGGCCUGUAUCUGACGCUGAGGUGCGAAAGCCAGGGUAGCGAACGGGAUUAGAUACCCCGGUAGUCCUGGCUGUAAACGAUGGUCACUAGGUGUUGGUGGUGGUUAGCCAUCAGUGCCGCAGCGAACGCAUUAAGUGACCCGCCUGGGGAUUACGACCGCAAGGUUGAA
Molecule: ribosomal RNA, 376 nt
Filed under: uncultured bacterium
Lineage: Bacteria
Description: bacterial SSU rRNA
Rfam family: Bacterial small subunit ribosomal RNA
Source: RNAcentral